AUUGAACGCUGGCGGCAGGCCUAACACAUGCAAGUCGAAUGGUAACAGGAAACAGCUUGCUGUUUCGCUGACGAGUGGCGGACGGGUGAGUAAUGUCUGGGAAACUGCCUGAUGGAGGGGAUAACUACUGGAAACGGUAGCUAAUACCGCAUAACGUCGCAAGACCAAAGAGGGGGACCUUCGGGCCUCUUGCCAUCAGAUGCGCCCAGAUGGGAUUAGCUAGUAGGUGGGGUAACGGCUCACCUAGGCGACGAUCCCUAGCUGGUCUGAGAGGAUGACCAGCCACACUGGAACUGAGACACGGUCCAGACUCCUACGGGAGGCAGCAGUGGGGAAUAUUGCACAAUGGGCGCAAGCCUGAUGCAGCCAUGCCGCGUGUAUGAAGAAGGCCUUCGGGUUGUAAAGUACUUUCAGCGGGGAGGAAGGGAGUAAAGUUAAUACCUUUGCUCAUUGACGUUACCCGCAGAAGAAGCACCGGCUAACUCCGU
RNAcentral lists this ribosomal RNA (488 nucleotides) under uncultured bacterium. RNAcentral describes it as "partial 16S ribosomal RNA". It matches the Rfam family "Bacterial small subunit ribosomal RNA", at positions 30 to 506 of the family's 1533-position model. The record is from RNAcentral.